This 468-nucleotide ribosomal RNA is filed under the name uncultured bacterium. RNAcentral describes it as "partial 16S ribosomal RNA". It matches the Rfam family "Bacterial small subunit ribosomal RNA", at positions 28 to 507 of the family's 1533-position model. The record is from RNAcentral.
GACGAACGCUGGCGGCGUGCUUAACACAUGCAAGUCGAACGGAAAGGCCCUGCUUUUGUGUGUUGCUCGAUUGGCGAACGGGUGAGUAACACGUGAGUAACCUGCCCUUGACUUUGGGAUAACUUCAGGAAACUGGGGCUAAUACCGGAUAGGAUCUUCUGCUGCACGGUGUUGGUAGGAAAGUUUCGGCGGUUGGGGAUGGACUCGCUGCUUAUCAGCUUGUUGGUGGGGUAGUGGCUUACGAAGGGUUUGACGGGUAGCCGGCCUGAGAGGUUGACCGGCGACCUGGGGCCUGCGAUAGGGAGCAGAAGCGUAUCGGACGCAGUAGUGGAGAGUAUUGCGGAACGGCGGGACGUGUGAGGUAGCAACGCUCGGAGCGUAAUGCCGGGUUUCGAGUUGUGAACCGAUUUCGAAUGUACCGAGGAGAGAGUGACGGUAAUUGGUAAGGAAGCAACGGCUAACUACGUG